Molecule: ribosomal RNA, 551 nt
Filed under: bacterium fme09x28p236
Lineage: Bacteria
Description: bacterial SSU rRNA
Rfam family: Bacterial small subunit ribosomal RNA
Source: RNAcentral
GCUAUACAUGCAGUCGAGCGAAUGACGAAGAAGCUUGCUUCUUCUGAUUUAGCGGCGGACGGGUGAGUAACACGUGGGCAACCUGCCCUGUAGAUUGGGAUAACUCCGGGAAACCGGGGCUAAUACCGAAUAAUCCAUUUCCUCACAUGGGGAGAUGUUAAAAGACGGCAUCUCGCUGUCACUACAGGAUGGGCCCGCGGCGCAUUAGCUAGUUGGUGAGGUAACGGCUCACCAAGGCGACGAUGCGUAGCCGACCUGAGAGGGUGAUCGGCCACACUGGGACUGAGACACGGCCCAGACUCCUACGGGAGGCAGCAGUAGGGAAUCUUCCACAAUGGACGAAAGUCUGAUGGAGCAAUGCCGCGUGAGUGAAGAAGGUUUUCGGAUCGUAAAACUCUGUUGUGAGGGAAGAACAAGUACGAGAGUAACUGCUCGUACCUUGACGGUACCUCAUUAGAAAGCCACGGCUAACUACGUGCCAGCAGCCGCGGUAAUACGUAGGUGGCAAGCGUUGUCCGGAAUUAUUGGGCGUAAAGCGCGCGCAGGCGGUC